RNAcentral lists this ribosomal RNA (2794 nucleotides) under Triticum aestivum (bread wheat). Its description in RNAcentral is "partial small subunit ribosomal RNA". The record is from RNAcentral. Lineage: Eukaryota; Viridiplantae; Streptophyta; Magnoliopsida; Poales; Poaceae.
GAAAUUUCGCCACGGAAGUAGUACUAGCGAAGAAUUGGCGAAUUUGCGAUCUGUGAAAGAACCGGCGAGAAAACGACGGAAUCCGAAUAAAUAAAGAAAGGCGACACGAGUGCCCCGCUACAAAGACGGGGACAUGUUCCGGCAUUUGGAAUCGGAAUUUGUCUUGCCUUGGGAGGAACAAGAACAAGCCAAGACAGAAACGGAACAAACGAGCCGUGCCACUUUGAGAGGAAGCUAAUUUUGUUGGCUUCUUCUUCCUCAGUCGUUACGCUUUCUUGGCGGUUUCCGUUGGCUGCGAGCUAAAGCCGGAGCCUGCCACCCUAAUUUUAGCCCCUCCUUGUCCAAAUUGGAGGUUACCGGAGGGCGAAUCGUAGCCCGGUUCGGCUGUUCGGCUGGGUUUGGCUACGCCCCUCCUCCUGGUCUGCUCGAUUCAGGCCAUGGAGAUAUGGCUGGCAAAGGUGCAGGGGGGUGGAGCUCGCCGUGUUUCUUGAUGCGAUUUGUGCAAGUAUCAGCCCCUCCUCGCAUCAAUCUUGGGGUCUAGAGCCCGAAAUCUUAACUUCUAGUCACCAACAUUAGAAAUUUGUUUGCCACCUUCUUGGCGAUCCUAAGACACUUGAGCCGCUGAUUGGGUUCCCCUUGUGUCUGCCGUUCUCAUGCGGCAGGAUUCAGAUGUUCUUGGCAAGGUAGGUCAAGGUAAAGGGAGAUGCCCAAGGCAGGAGACUGUAGCGGCGGCGGCGGCGGUGGCCGGAGGGACCUGCCUCUGCUUUUCCUGAGGGUGGGCGCUGCCAUCACGCUCUCCAUCGCUGGGCUCUUCUUCUCGCGGCUGCGGUGGCAGCACCGGCCUCGGCCCCGGCACCUCCUGCUCCCUCCUCCUUCAGAGCCGGAUGAUGCCCGUGGCAUGAAGGGUGGUGGUGGAGGGCUCAAGGACGAGCUAAGGAUCCUCAAGAAUGAGGAUACCAAGGCAAAAAUAAUCAAUGGUAACUCUGUGCACACAACCACUACCACUACAACGACCACCACCACUGCCUCAGUGUCACUUCCUCCGAAAUGCCGAAACAUUGAUGAUGAUGAUGAUGAUGAUGAUGAAGGAUUUCUCCUUCCAGAAUACAAUGAAAUGGUUAUGGAAGAAUUUGGCGGAGACGUAGGCAAUAUCGCAAGCUCACCUGCAGCAAGAGUAAGGGAAGAUGCAUCUAAUGAGCAUGAAAUUUUCAAGCUCAGAGAUUUGGUUAGAUCUCUGCAAGAAAGGGAAAAGACCCUGGAGAUACAACUUUUGGAGUUGUAUGGUUUGCAGGAGCAAGGUGCUGCAGUUAGGGAGCUUGAGAACCAACUGAAGAUAAACAAUGUCGAGUCACAGCUAUACUCCUUGAAGAUCGAAUCCUUGCAAUCUGAAAAUCAGAGGUUACAAACACAGUUGUCUGAAAGCUCAAAGUUAACUUCCCAGCUUGAGUUGACAAAAUCAAAAUGCAAGCUGUUGAAAAAGAAGUUGAGACUGGAUGCGGAACAAGCAAAGGAGAAAAUCACUUCCCUUCAGAACAUAGUUGAUUCCUUUCAGUGUAAGGAGAUUAUUGAGGGAGAAGUUGACGGCGAGGCUGAGAAGAAAUUAAAGAGGCUAGAGGAAUUGGAAAAUGAGGCAAGAGAGCUUAGAGCUGCAAAUUCAAGGCUGCAGCAGGAGAAUUCACACCUUACUAGGCGAUUGGAGCUCACACGCCUACCGCCUGUACCCAAGUCCCACAAUAGCAUGGAGGUAAAAACAUCAGAACAAGUUGAUGGGUUGAAGCAAGAAAACGAGAAGUUGUCAAAAGAGGUUGAACAACUGCGGACUGACAGGUUUGCAGAUGUUGAGGAGCUGGUAUAUCUUAAAUGGAUCAAUGCUUGCCUGCGGCAUGAGCUGAAGAACAAGGGGACUCCUGGUCCUGGGGCACAAACUACAGCACAGGAUCUAAGCAACACCCUAAGCCCCAAAUCUGAACAGACAGCCAAGCAAUUGAUAAUGGAGUAUGCCAAUGUUGGUGCGGACGAGAGAAGUUUAAGCUCCAUAGAAUUUGGCUCAGAGUACGCUUCUUCAAGGGCAUCAUCAAGUGGCGAACCCGAUGACACAUCGAUCGAUAUGUCAUCAGUCACAACGCCCAGAAACCCGAAGAAGAAAGAGAAGAAGAAGUUUUUCUCUAAGCUACGGAAAUUGGUACUGGGAAAAGAUAAGGAAAAGAACAAUUUCCCUACUUUGGAGAGGAGAGUGUCUAUUUCGAGCUGUUCCUUUGAUGACUUCACUGGAAGAGACUCGCAUGAUAGCUACUCUUCCUUCUUGACAGAAGGAGCCGUAUCUGCCAAUCAGCAGCAUGACGAUCGCAGCUGCGUUACGCCUUCUUUUGGCAGCCAAAGAUAUAGCACAGAAGCAGGAGAUGGAAGAUACCAGCGUCAUGGGGUAAAAAAGAAUGCAUCUUUCGGAUCCGGAAGAUUCAGUGAACAUGGUUCUCAGUUUGAUAGUGGUGAGGCCACAAUACCAGAAGAUGUUGAGAUCCACAAAUUCGCCGAGGCACUGAUUACAUCAAGGACAGGUUCUAUGUCAUCCAGAAGGACAUUAUCCUUCAGCUAACUGAUAAAAAACCAGUAGCUAGGAGUCAUGUGAUGCUGACCAUCUUGUCUGGAUGUAUAUUUUUGCCAGACCCUGAUGGUGAAGUGAUAGGAGAUGUUACUGGAAUGAAGUAUCCAAGACUUCAUUCUGUGUGAAAUGUACAAUCAUGUAUAAUAGUAUAGUGCAAUGACCUUUAAUCUCAAUCUUUGCCGUUCAUUUGGC